Molecule: ribosomal RNA, 429 nt
Filed under: Bacteroidota bacterium
Lineage: Bacteria; Pseudomonadati; Bacteroidota
Description: Bacteroidetes bacterium partial 16S ribosomal RNA
Rfam family: Bacterial small subunit ribosomal RNA
Source: RNAcentral
UAGGGAAUCUUCGGCAAUGGGGGGAACCCUGACCGAGCAACGCCGCGUGAGUGAAGAAGGUUUUCGGAUCGUAAAGCUCUGUUGUUAAGGAAGAACGAGUGUGAGAAUGGAAAGUUCAUACUGUGACGGUACUUGACCAGCAAGGGACGGCUAACUACGUGCCAGCAGCCGCGGUAAUACGUAGGUCCCGAGCGCUGUCCGGAUUUAUUGGGCGUAAAGCGAGCGCAGGCGGUUAGAAAAGUCUGAAGUGAAAGGCAGUGGCUCAACCAUUGUAGGCUUUGGAAACUGUUUAACUUGAGUGCAGAAGGGGGGAGUGGAAUUCCAUGUGUAGCGGUGAAAUGCGUAGAUAUAUGGGGGAACACCGGUGGCGGAAGCGGCUCUCUGGUCUGUAACUGACGCUGAGGCUCGAAAGCGUGGGUAGCAAACAGG